GUGGCGGACGGGUGAGUAAUGCGUAGGAAUCUGCCCAGUAGUGGGGGAUAACCCGGGGAAACCCACGCUAAUACCGCAUACGCCCUACGGGGGAAAGGAGGGGAUCUUCGGACCUUUCGCUAUGAGAUGAGCCUGCGUUAGAUUAGCUAGUUGGUAGGGUAAAGGCCUACCAAGGCGACGAUCUAUAGCUGGUCUGAGAGGACGAUCAGCCACACUGGGACUGAGACACGGCCCAGACUCC
RNAcentral lists this ribosomal RNA (241 nucleotides) under uncultured bacterium. RNAcentral describes it as "partial 16S ribosomal RNA". It matches the Rfam family "Bacterial small subunit ribosomal RNA", at positions 95 to 339 of the family's 1533-position model. The record is from RNAcentral.